GCCCGGGUGGCGAAAUUGGUAGACGCACAAGACUUAAAAUCUUGCGAUAGAAAUAUCGUACCGGUUCGAUUCCGGUCCCGGGCACCA
Molecule: transfer RNA, 87 nt
Filed under: Marinomonas communis
Lineage: Bacteria; Pseudomonadati; Pseudomonadota; Gammaproteobacteria; Oceanospirillales; Oceanospirillaceae
Also listed under: 21 other names
Description: tRNA-Leu
Rfam family: tRNA
About the family: Transfer RNA (tRNA) molecules are approximately 80 nucleotides in length. Their secondary structure includes four short double-helical elements and three loops (D, anti-codon, and T loops).
Source: RNAcentral